This 354-nucleotide RNase P RNA is filed under the name Bacteroidota bacterium. RNAcentral describes it as "RNase P RNA component class A". It matches the Rfam family "Bacterial RNase P class A". From Rfam's summary of the family: Ribonuclease P (RNase P) is a ubiquitous endoribonuclease, found in archaea, bacteria and eukarya as well as chloroplasts and mitochondria. Lineage: Bacteria; Pseudomonadati; Bacteroidota. The record is from RNAcentral.
GCUGCAAGCCGUCCUAUCGCUGUUCCGAUUUAUCGGAAGAGAGGAAAGUCCGGGCAACACAGAGCAUCCCACUUCCUAACGGGAAGGUCCCGGUUUACCGGGAACAGAUAGUGCCACAGAGAAUUACAGCCCUUCAGCAAUGAAUGGUGAUGGUGAAAACGUGAGGUAAGAGCUCACGAUAGCAGUUGGCGACAAUUGUUAUGGGUAAACCUUGGGAGUUGAAAGACCAAAUAAACCGGAGCGUAAGAGCUGCUCGCUCUAUCCGGAGGGUAGGUUGCUAGAAUGUUGCAGUGAUGCAGGAUCCAGAUAAAUGAUAGGACUCGACAGAACCCGGCUUACAGGCUUGCUUUUUUU